RNAcentral lists this ribosomal RNA (454 nucleotides) under uncultured bacterium. Its description in RNAcentral is "bacterial SSU rRNA". It matches the Rfam family "Bacterial small subunit ribosomal RNA", at positions 340 to 786 of the family's 1533-position model. The record is from RNAcentral.
UACGGAAGGCAGCAGUGGGGAAUAUUGCACAAUGGGCGCAAGCCUGAUGCAGCCAUGCCGCGUGUAUGAAGAAGGCCUUCGGGUUGUAAAGUACUUUCAGUCGUGAGGAGGGUGUUAAGGUUAAUAACCUUAGCAAUUGACGUUAGCGACAGAAGAAGCACCGGCUAACUCCGUGCCAGCAGCCGCGGUAAUACGGAGGGUGCGAGCGUUAAUCGGAAUUACUGGGCGUAAAGGGCACGCAGGCGGUUAAUUAAGUUGGAUGUGAAAUCCCCGGGCUUAACCUGGGAAUGGCAUUCAAGACUGGUUAGCUAGAGUCUUGUAGAGGGGGUAGAAUUCCAUGUGUAGCGGUGAAAUGCGUAGAGAUGUGGAGGAAUACCGGGUGGCGAAGGCGGCCCCUGGGACAAAGACUGACGCUCAUGUGCGAAAGCGUGGGGAGCAAACAGGAUUAGAUACC